This is a non-coding RNA of Arvicanthis niloticus (Nile rat), 538 nucleotides long. NCBI's taxonomy places the organism in Eukaryota, Metazoa, Chordata, Mammalia, Rodentia, Muridae. The record is from RefSeq and is a predicted model, not a curated record.
GCGGAGCUUGAUUCACCUUCACCUGCGCUGGGCACCCGCUGACCCCAGGUCUCCGCCCAGAGAGCAGUGAGAUAUGAACGGACGGGUGGAUUAUUUAGUCUCGGAGGAAGAGAUCAACCUGACGAGAGGACCCUCUGGGCUGGGCUUCAACAUCGUCGGUGGGACAGAUCAACAGUAUGUCUCCAACGACAGUGGCAUCUACGUCAGCCGCAUCAAAGAGGAUGGGGCUGCGGCCCAGGAUGGGCGGCUUCUGGAGGGUGAUAAGAUCCUCUCGGUAAAUGGUCAAGACCUGAAGAACCUGCUGCACCAAGAUGCUGUAGACCUCUUUCGUAAUGCAGGAUGUGCUGUGUCCCUGAGAGUACGGCACAGAUUACCAGUGCAGAAUGGACCAUCGAGGCGAAGGAGAGCCAAGUGGGGUUCCUGUAGCUAUGGUGCUGCUACCAGUGUUUGCCCUCACCAUGGUAGCAGUUUGGGCCUUCGUGAGAUACCGAAAGCAGCUUUGAAAUGCUUGCUGUCUUCCAGUGUGUCCAAUGAACUA